GACGAACGCUGGCGGCGUGCUUAACACAUGCAAGUCGAACGGAAAGGCCCUGCUUGCAGGGUGCUCGAGUGGCGAACGGGUGAGUAACACGUGGGUGAUCUGCCCCUUACUUUGGGAUAAGCCUGGGAAACUGGGUCUAAUACUGGAUAGGACCAUGCUGUAGGUGGUGUGGUGGAAAGAUUAGUUUCGGUAAGGGAUGAGCUCGCGGCCUAUCAGCUUGUUGGUGGGGUAAUGGCCUACCAAGGCGUCGACGGGUAGCCGGCCUGAGGGGGUGGACGGCCACAUCGGGACUGAGAUGCGGGCCAGACUCCUGCGGGAGGGAGCAGUGGGGAAUAUUGCACAAUGGGCGCAAGCCUGAUGCAGCGACGCCGCGUGGGGGAUGACGGCCUUCGGGUUGUAAACACCUUUCAGCCAUGACGAAGCCCUUGUGGUGACGGUAGUGGUAGAAGAAGCACCGGCUAACUACGUG
Molecule: ribosomal RNA, 469 nt
Filed under: uncultured bacterium
Lineage: Bacteria
Description: partial 16S ribosomal RNA
Rfam family: Bacterial small subunit ribosomal RNA
Source: RNAcentral